Molecule: long non-coding RNA, 1681 nt
Filed under: Homo sapiens (human)
Lineage: Eukaryota; Metazoa; Chordata; Mammalia; Primates; Hominidae
Description: HSALNT0131912
Source: RNAcentral
GCGCGCAGGGGAGGCCUCCGCAGGGAGAGGUACCGCUGGAUCAGGCGAGGGUGCCCGCAGGAGAGGCCUCCGCAGGGAGAGGUACCGCUGGAUCAGGCGAGGGUGCGCGCAGGAGAGGCCUCCGCAGGGAGAGGUACCGCUGGAUCAGGCGAGGGUGCGCGCAGGGGAGGCCUCCGCAGGGAGCGGUGCCGCUGGGCCAGGCACGGGUGCCCGCAGGAGAGGCCUCCGCAGGGAGAGGUGCCGCUGGGCCAGGCACGGGUGCCCGCAGGAGAGGCCUCCGCAGAUCUCUGAUGAUGUGCUAACUAAAUUAGAUAAAUCCCCGUCAUGUCUCAUUCAUGUCUCAGGCCUCAGCUGGGUCUCACGUCUCAUUUGGAGCAUCACUGACGCCUCUCUUAAGUUCUCUAUUAAGGAGCCAUUUCAAGUAUUUACAGGGAAGCCUCUGGACUGGGUGAUAUCAUGUGACCAAUGGCACACAAUUCAGUGCCCAGAAUGAACAGGACACAGGAAACUAAUGAAGACAACGGGGAGAUGGAGGAAGGAACCAGAGAUGUUCAAAGACUAGAUCGUGGGUCAGAUGGUAAUGACUCUAACCUAAGGCAGGGAUGAUGGCAGAAAGAUGCCUUCACAGGACAAACUGAGCCUAGCGCUCAACACCCCCACCUGGGGAAAGUGACACCUGCAUGGGAACUUAUCCAUGGGUACCACCAGACCCAAAGGACCUCUAUCUUCAAGUAAACCCUACGCUCCCCAAGCAGACAGUGUCAUUUCGGUGAAUGUCCUAACAGCAAAACAAAUUUCUUCUCCGGGGAAUGGUCUUCACAAAUUAUUGCCCAGAGAGUGAAUAAUUCUUCUCUAGUCAGUGGCUAACAGGGAAAUUAUCUAUGUGCCUCUGGACUUGUUCUUGUAUCACAGUGAAUAAACUGGUCCAACCCAAACUGACACAUCCACAAACUCCCUUUGUGAUCCUAGGUAAGAUUUUAGAUGGCAUUUGUCAAUGUAAAAAAUAAAAAUAAAGAACAUAAUGUAAUCAAGUUGCUUUCACACACAACCUAGUUGGUUUUGGCCAAUUAGGAUAUUGGUAGGCUCCUUCAUUGAGCCCAGACCAGAGUACCAUCAGUCCCAGGACUCUAAAAGCCAUCUGUCUUAGUCCCUUUUGUGUUGCUAUAACACAGUAUCUGAGGCAGGGUAAUCUGCAAAGAGAAGAGGUAUUUAAUUCAUGAUUCUAGUGUCUGCGAAGUCCAAGAGCAUGGUGCCCAUGGCUUCUGGUGGGAGCCUUGUGCUGUCUCACAACAUGGUAGAGAAGUAGGAGGGGAAGUGGGCCUUGUGAAAGAGAAGCCAAACAGGAGAGGUGGCCUCACUUUAUAAAAUCCACCUUCUUGGAAAGCAACCCAUUCCCAGGAGAACUCACUCCUGAGAGAUGGCAUUUAAUCUCUCCAUGAGGGUCCCUCGUGGACCAAACACCUCCCACCACUCAACACCAUUACACUGGGGACCAAGCCUCAGUGAGUUUUGGUGAGGACCAACCAUACCAAACCAUAGCACCACUGGAACAACAAGAUUGAGAAUGGCUAUCACAACAUGGAAAUCCUAACCCAUUUUCCUAGAAAUAUACUCUCUCAUUCAUCCCAAUAGCUCUGCAGUCCCCACAACCUCUACUUAUCGUCCUCUGACCCACAACCCC